GAAAUGCGAUAAGUAGUGUGAAUUUCAGAAUUCAGUGAAUCAUCUAAUCUUUGAACGCACAUUGCGCCCCUUGGUAUUCCAUGGGGCAUGCCUGUUCGAGCGUCAUUUGUACCCUCAAGCUCUGCUUGGUGUUGGGUGUUUGUCCCGUCUCCGCGCGUGGACUCGCCCCAAAGUGAUUGGCAGCCGGCGUACUGGUCCCGGAGCGCAGCACAUGUCGCGCAAACGAGUGCCUUGGUACGGCGGCGUCCAUAAGCCCCUCUCUCACGCUCUUGACCUCGGAUCAGGUAGGGAUACCCGCUGAACUUAAGC
This 309-nucleotide unclassified non-coding RNA is filed under the name plant metagenome. Its description in RNAcentral is "partial contains 5.8S ribosomal RNA, internal transcribed spacer 2, and large subunit ribosomal RNA". The stretch from base 1 to 105 matches the Rfam family "5.8S ribosomal RNA", at positions 50 to 154 of the family's 154-position model. The record is from RNAcentral.